Molecule: ribosomal RNA, 465 nt
Filed under: uncultured bacterium
Lineage: Bacteria
Description: partial 16S ribosomal RNA
Rfam family: Bacterial small subunit ribosomal RNA
Source: RNAcentral
ACGAACGCUGGCGGCGUGCUUCACCCAUGCCAGUCGAACGGAAAGGCCCUGCUUGCAGGGUACUCGAGUGGCGAACGGGUGAGUAACACGUGGGUGAUCUGCCCUGCACUUCGGGAUAAGCUUGGGAAACUGGGUCUAAUACCGGAUAGGAGCCAUCUUUAGUGUGGUGGUUGGAAAGUUUUUUCGGUGUAGGAUGAGCUCGCGGCCUAUCAGCUUGUUGGUGGGGUAAUGGCCUACCAAGGCGGCGACGGGUAGCCGGCCUGAGAGGGUGUACGGCCACAUUGGGACUGAGAUACGGCCCAGACUCCUACGGGAGGCAGCAGUGGGGAAUAUUGCACAAUGGGCGCAAGCCUGAUGCAGCGACGCCGCGUGGGGGAUGAAGGCCUUCGGGUUGUAAACUCCUUUCGCUAGGGACGAAGCGUUUUUGUGACGGUACCUAGAUAAGAAGCACCGGCUAACUACGUG